CCUANGGGUGGCUGCAGUGAGGAAUAUUGCGCAAUGGGCGAAAGCCUGACGCAGCGACGCCGCGUGGGGGAUGAAGGUCUUCGGAUUGUAAACCCCUUUCGGGAGGGAAGAUGGGACGGGCAACCGUUCGGACGGUACCUCCAGAAGCAGCCACGGCUAACUUCGUGCCAGCAGCCGCGGUAAUACGAAGGUGGCAAGCGUUGUUCGGAUUUACUGGGCGUAAAGGGAGCGUAGGCGGUUUGGUAAGCCCUCCGGCAAAUCUCCCGGCCUAACCGGGAAAGGUCGGAGGGGACUGCUUGACUAGAGGGCGGGAGAGGAGCGCGGAAUUCCCGGUGUAGCGGUGAAAUGCGUAGAGAUCGGGAGGAAGGCCGGUGGCGAAGGCGGCGCUCUGGAACGAUCCUGACGCUGAGGCUCGAAAGCGUGGGGAGCAAACAGGAUUAGAUACCCCANUANUC
RNAcentral lists this ribosomal RNA (455 nucleotides) under uncultured bacterium. RNAcentral describes it as "bacterial SSU rRNA". It matches the Rfam family "Bacterial small subunit ribosomal RNA", at positions 338 to 795 of the family's 1533-position model. The record is from RNAcentral.